CAAGGAGUAGGAGCUUUCUGGGUAGAUGCUGUGCUUCUUUGAGGCUAUUCUUGGUUGUUGGAAGAGCAGCUCAUCAUAAACACUAUCAUUUUUCCUGCCUUGUCCACUGGAGCUGUGCUGUGAUCAUCUUGAAGUCUCCAAGCCAGGAUAUAAAUCUUGUGGAGUGCUAUUCAUGCUGCCACCCACCCAUUAUGAGGGGCCCAACACAUCAUCCGAGAUUAUUCUGACACACAGGGUUUCCAAACUCUAGCAACUGAGUGUUAACAAGGAGGCUACUGGGUUUUACCCCAUCUCCGGGAGUUGAGUUCAGCCUGAGAAAAGAGACUCAAGGGGUCCAAGCUUGCAACAGAUGAAGUUAAGGCAGGCUGAAUGGCAGAGAUUUGGAUGGCUUUCCCAAACUCCAUGUGUUUGUGUGGCUACUCAGUGUCUCAUCAGUAUCUGCAGUAUAAACUGUUAAGUGCCACAGGGGCGUUUACUCUGGGGUAGAGAACUUGGCUAGUGCUGAUGGCUGCUAAGGGUAUGAAAAUGCAGAACAGCUAUCCAUAGAAGUGAGUUUUGAACUCCAGGCUGUUUCAUUUCCAGCUGAGCACAUUUUCCCUUAUUUUCCUGCAUAAAGAGAGAACAUGUUCUCUUGCGUCUAAGUGCCACUCCUUGUCUGCACAAUACAACAGAACAAAUAGCCUAAUCAGACUGAAAUGCAGAGCAUGCUGAAAAACUGGGAACACUUGGGACAUAGUUAGUGAAGGCGAAAGCCUCCCUUGUUGUAGGAAGUGAUAGAUCCCAUAGAAGGAGUUACACAAAUGGAAGGGCAGAACUGGGAGUGAUGCGAAGGACUGAUGAUUAUGGAAGGUGAAUGUUCCUGGGCUCUCCUGUGUAUGGUGGGAUCACCUGCAGGAACACAGCCUGGUGUUGAUCAGAGUGCACGUCUUCCAAUCUCUACUUUCCCAAGAUCAUCCGCCUGCACUAUUUCACCAGAGGAACCCCAUCUCAGUGGCCUCCUCAAAUCCAUUAAAAAGAAAAAUAACUGGAUCCAACCCAAACAGAAAACAGAGCCCUGACAUGGUAGUAAGCCUCUUGCCAGCUUCAGAGGAGACUGCAACAUUCACCCUGUGUGUUUUUGAUCCUCCUAAACACGCAGACAGCAGCUCAGUUAUAUACACACGCACAUUUGUAUGUCUUGCAUUUGCAAAUAAUCUCUGAUGUUGGAGCCUUUCAGACUGCUCUGAGGAAAUACAUAAGCCUGCAGCCCUCACUGCAUUGCCUUUGGUUUACCAAGACCACGACAGUUUCUGAAGGGUACCAGCAGCUUAGUUCCCUUUCCCAGUAACAGAGGUGCUUUGGCCACCUCUUAUCAAAGUUCCUCCUUUCCUUAAACAGCAAAUAAUUACUUCUGAUAUUAUCCCCACCAUAUAUGCUCAUUUAACUGGCCUGCAAUUGCCCCUACCACUCUUCACUCCAAUUGGGUUUUUUCCACUAGCCAACUUCCAGAGAUGUUGGCUCAGGUUUUCAGGGCUUCCUAUUAACAUUCUCUGUGCUUGUGCUGUCUUAGGGGAAAGUAUCUUGGCUGGGUGCUACUGCACUGUUGGAAGAGGCCAACAAAACUAGCUGAUCCUGUACUGUGGUCAGUGGAGAGGACUCCAAAACUUAUACUGCAUGGUUCCUUGGUUUUCCUAAACAUGUGAUUUCCUAAAAAAUGUAGGUAUUCAAACUUGCUAAGCUGGCUUCUUUGAUGCCUGCUAAGAGUGGACUUCUUAGGACAAUUCCAAUGUUAUCACUUGGUCAUUUGUUUUCAUACAGCUCAUAAGAGCUUAAGAAUUCUGCAUCCUCUUUUUGACAAAGGCGGCUGGCUUUGUUAUGUUAUUCAGCGCAUCUCAUAGACUUUUAAACAGAUCUUGCAUAGAUAAGCACUGUAGUUUAGGAAAGCAAGCUAGAAAGGGAGAAGAAGAUUUUUUCAUUGUUGAAAUACAUUUUGGGACAGGGUUUGAAGCCUUCCAGCUUUCCAGCCAAAUUAAGUGAAAGCAGAAAGCAAAAAUAGCCUGUAGAAUGACAGUGAGCUUCCAGCACUUGUAACAGAAUGCUUUUGUUUGUUAUAAAGAGACUAUUGGCUAUUUUAGUAGCCAUUAGUCAAGGUAUAUUAAUAACAUAUUGCAUAGUUUUAAAGAUUCCUGGUUUUUAAAAAUCUUCAUUUGCAAAAUUGAAAACCUUACAGAUCUCUUUUUGCUUUUCCUCCUGUUUAAUGUAAA
Molecule: non-coding RNA, 2243 nt
Organism: Coturnix japonica (Japanese quail)
Lineage: Eukaryota; Metazoa; Chordata; Aves; Galliformes; Phasianidae
Source: RefSeq, a predicted model, not a curated record